AUUGAACGCUGGCGGCAUGCCUAACACAUGCAAGUCGAGCGGAGCGGCGGACGGGUGAGUAAUGCCUAGGAAUCUGCCUGGUAGUGGGGGACAACGUCCGGAAACGGGCCCUAAUACCGCAUACUAUCAGAUGAGCCUAGGUCGGAUUAGCUUGUAGGUGAGGUAACGGCUCACCUAGGCGACGAUCCCUAGCUGGUCUGAGAGGAUGAUCAGCCACACUGGGACUGAGACACGGCCCAGACUACUACGGGAGGCAGCAGUGGGGAAUAUUGCGCAAUGGGCGCAAGCCUGAUGCAGCAAUGCCGCGUGUAUGAAGAAGGCCUUCGGGUUGUAAAUUACUGUCAGUCGGGAGGCGUUACCGACAGAAGAAGCACCGGCUAACUCCGUGCCAGCAGCCGCGGUAAUAC
Molecule: ribosomal RNA, 407 nt
Filed under: uncultured bacterium
Lineage: Bacteria
Description: partial 16S ribosomal RNA
Rfam family: Bacterial small subunit ribosomal RNA
Source: RNAcentral